This is a non-coding RNA of Macaca mulatta (Rhesus monkey), 2028 nucleotides long. Lineage: Eukaryota; Metazoa; Chordata; Mammalia; Primates; Cercopithecidae. The record is from RefSeq and is a predicted model, not a curated record.
CCUCUCCGUGCCCACUCUGGGCGCCCAGGUGUGGACAGGAUUCUCCCCUGCUGCGGGUGCUGACGGCUCUGCCAGGUCCCCUGUGCCAAUAUUGACCAGAGAACUCUGUGUGGCGGGCGCUGGGCCAGCCCCACACUCCUGGCCCACAGCACUGGGCCCAUAAUCCAACGCUGGUGUGUCAGCACCAUUAUCUCAGCCUCUUUAUUUCAGAGCUUCUUGUUCUCAUACUGCUGAAUUCUCUCAGAGAAAAGAAAGAAAAAGUCCUUGCUAGGUGGACGGAGCCUCCCCGGAACCAGCACCCUCACCGGCACCCUCGCUGGCAGGCACUAAUGAGCUCCCGGGGUUUCAGGCUCAGCAGAGCAGGGGAGACUAAGGAAGGGGUCUGCCAGGUCAUGGUCACCCUUCGCCAGCAAGCACACCAGGAGAAGAAACCAUGAGGCUGGUGCCAGAGCGAAGCCCACCUUGAGAUGGGAAAAUAAACGCCUCAAGAAGCUGCACAGAUUGCCCCAAGACUCUCAGGAGGUGAGUGGGAGGACACAAACCCAGGACAGACAACUGCGGGAAAGAGGCAAUAGGAACACAUUUUGGAAGCUGCAUAGCAGAUGCAUGAGGAGGGACUGAAUUAGCCAAGGCGAGCUGCAGGGAGCUGAGCUGCAGAGGCCGUCACGACCCAGAGGAUGUGGAUUUAUCCUGGGAUGUCAAGGAGGGUAAGGGACAGGGCUCCCAGGGUGCCAGGUGGACAGCAGGACUGGGAGUGGCAAGACUAUUUCCGAAGCAGGUACGUGGCCAGGUGUUCCUCUGCCCCUAGGUAGCCUGCCACACCCACCUCAGGUGGCAUCUGGAGGAUGGGGAAGAGACUCAGGACCGAGGGCUCUGGGCAGAGCCAAGGGCAAGAGGAUUCAGUGUUUCUUUGUUGUCACAGGACUGGGGGUCAGGGGGCUGUCCCUUUUUUUGGGGGUGGUUUCCCAGGUCACUGGCUGAAAGCACGUCAGACCCCUGGCAGGAUGUUGGAGGAUUCCUUUUUAGGGAGACUUAUGGACUCAAAACAAAUGAUUCUAAACACUUCCAGACAUUUAAAAACAAAUAAAGGACUAGAAUCAAGCUUCAUUAGUCUUCUCAACAGCAACAUUUGAAGCCAGGAGGUAAUGGAAAAUUGUCUUCAAAAUUUUAUGGGAAAAAUAGUUUUCUACUAGAAUUUUAACCCAAAUGAACAAACUAUCAAUCAAAACAGUUCAGACACACAAUUGUUCAAUAAACACAUCUCUCACUCUUUCAGUGAGGUGCUGGGGGAUGCACCCACAAAAUGAGAGACAACGACUUGGGAUUCAAGGAACCAAGAAUCCAAAAGGAAAGAGGCCAUGGGAAUCCCCAGAGUGAAAGGAAAGGGAAGCUAAGGAAUCCGGUGCUGAAGAGGAAGGGAGGCUGCAAGAGGGGCAUCUCCCAGGGAAGAUGAAAACACAGAGGGCCUUUUGCAUCUUGAGAGGAGAUUUACAAUUCUCACAGAGAGGUUAGGGCUGAGUUAGUGAUAUGUAUAUGAAAAACGAAUCCAGUGAAAAAGCAAUUAAGUAAAGUCCAGGAAAAACAAACUAAAAAAAAGAAAAUUGUUUAAGGAAGAAACUGUAAUUAUAGUACACUACGUGUCUCAGCUGUGAGUCAUAUUUAUACAAUGUCAUGACAUUUAAUUGAUCUACUAGAAUACUGAUCUGUUCAGACAUUACAAACAGCAGUGGGUGUGUCAGGGAAGAAAGACCUUGAUAACGAGUAGGGACGUGGUACAGAAAUGCCGAAUUCUCAUUUUUCAUUAUAUGAAGUCAGUAGCCAAAAUUGAACUAAAGAAAGUCAGCAAAUAGAAAUAUAAGCAUGCUAUUUAGAAAUGUGGGGGUAAACAGGUACAGUUUUAGCUUUUAGGUGGAUUGCCUCUGGGGAGUGGAAUGGACACUGCCCUGCAGAUCUAUUGGUGGGUAUUUGUGUGUGUGUGUGUGUGUGUGUGUGUGUGUGUGUGUGUAAGAUGGAGUCUUGCUCUGUCAC